RNAcentral lists this unclassified non-coding RNA (7530 nucleotides) under Orussus abietinus. RNAcentral describes it as "uncharacterized LOC105696267, transcript variant X1". Lineage: Eukaryota; Metazoa; Arthropoda; Insecta; Hymenoptera; Orussidae. The record is from RNAcentral.
CCGGCGAAUUCGCGGAUCGCGCGAUCACGCGCGAGUGGAGCGUCUGCCGACUGGCGUGUCGCCGUCGCGCUCGCCGGCGUCCGAUGCGCCCGUGAAGGAGAGGCCCCCGCUGACGGACCGACCGAGCCAGAGGCGCCCGCUCCAGAGGCCGAGGCCGAGGCAGAGGCAGCCGACUCCAGAGGGACCGAGAGCGGCGGGCGGAGCGGCGGUCGCGGGCACACGGUACUCUCCGCUCGAAUGCUACUCGCGGGCGGCGGGCGCCGACCGGAUGGCGGAGCGCGGCUGACCCGGGCCCAGAGGCCGCGCGCCGCCGCGACCGAUAUGAACGACGCCGAGCUCGCGAGCGCCCCAGCUCGAGCCUAGGUAGGCGGAGGUUAGGGCGGCCGGGCCGAGACAAUGAGCGCUGACAACCGUCCCCGGUCGAAGCCGCUCCUCGAACCCGAGCACGCCGAGCCCCCGGGGGACGCCAGGAAGAUCAAGAAGGAACGCGCCGACGCCGAGGCCGACGAGACUGACGCCGCCCCCGCUCCCGCCCCCGCCCCAGCCCCCGCGACCGUUAACGGCGCCGACGAUGCCACCCGAGAUCGGAGUGCUCCCCUGGAGGUACAUCGGUUUCGGAACCCCAGGCCUUCCCAGACUGGAGCCCAGGUCUCCAACGGCUUCCACGGAGGGGCCAACCUCCUGCAGGACGUCCUUUCCAGCAAGUUUGCCGGCCUCGCUCAUCACGGUCCUGCUGCUAAGCACGACAAGAUCAGGCUCAUGAUCGAGGAUAGUAUCGGGGAAGAGUCCAAGUGCCGCGUUCAGGAUAUCUUUUCACAAGUCGAGCAACUUAAGACGGAGGAGAAGCUAUUGCUGUACCUGAAGUUACCGCUGUCGCUGACCAAUCCAGGAGGUAGCGUCGAUCCACUGAGACUGCCAUUGAAUCCACUAGGCAAUCGUUAUGAGAUCCAUCAGACCAUCAUGUGGAUCAAGACGCAUCUCGAGGAGGAUCCUGAUGUUUCUUUACCGAAGCAGGAGGUUUACGACGAAUAUAACAUGUUUUGUAUAAGGAACUCCAUGAAACCUCUGUCGACGGCGGAUUUUGGGAAGGUGAUGAAGCAAGUCUAUCCUAGAGUGAGACCUCGCAGGCUUGGUACGCGUGGAAACUCUCGUUACUGCUAUGCUGGCAUGCGAAAGAGAAUCAAAUUGGACCCCCCAACGCUACCAUCGGUGACUGGCGUGCCAGCUGGCGACGAGGAGGAGGAGAACCUCACCGAGGAAAUGUUAGGCGCAGCCUCGACAUUAAUUCGUGAGUGGGCUGAAAAUUUGCUCAGCUUGAAAUUUCCAACGCUGAGCGCCUUGGCGCGUCAUCUCGUCGACAACCUUUGCGUCGAUACGAGAUCUCUAGCUGCUGUUUGCAUCCUAUGUGCUUCCGGCGAGAGCCAAGCGUCCACCGAUAAAGAAAUACCGGCACUCGCUGUUACACCGACACCAGUGAAAUCUGGGAAGUUGAGGGAAGCGCAACUGCAGCUGCAACGUAAGCUACAACAGCGCGAACACAUUCGGGAUCAGAAGCAUAGACACCUUGAUACUGUUUUACAGAAUCAGAACAAAGAGAAGACUGUAGAUAAUAAUAAGGGUGGAGUAGGUAGCAAGGGAGGCAAGAGGAGCAAAGCGAGUCAGUCACCGCAAGGCGCGAAUCCAUCCUCCGGUGGAUUGGCACCGAGCAAGCAGAACCAGUCGAUUCAGCCUGCCGGUCGACAGCGAAAGGUCCUGAAGCCAUCGGCCUCCCAGAGCAGCGAUCCAACGGUGGUCUCCCUGCAAUCCAACUGUGAUAGCCUAUCGGUACAAUCGUUCGACGAGUCUAGGAGCAACGGCGAGGCCGUGCUGGUGCUGGCGAGCGACAUCACCUCCCCGAAGGCCGCAAAGUCGCGCAAUCCCAGGAAACGAGGCAACCCAGCCACCGGUCAGCAUCCUUCGGAGUCCAGUCCGGAGAAGCAGGCCAAGCUGGCGGAGGCUGGCAAGUCGUCGGCGACGACGUCCUCGUCGUUGGCGAAGCUCGCGUCCACCCAGCGCCCCGGGAAGGUCUCCGUGAUCCUUGCCAGUAGCCUGAAGCCGGCCCGCUGCAAAGCGUCGGCCGAUCGGGGCGAACCGAAGGACUGUGAUAUCGAGUCAUCGACUCGGACCGUCGACAACAAGGCGAACGGUACUCAGGGUCUCGCGGAGGCCUCGGCCGAGGCUUCCGUCAGGGUGAAGAGCCAGGCCGGAUUGGUGCAGGAGGAGGCUGCCGGGACCGAGAGGAACGAGAAACUCUGCGCCAUCGAUCCGGACUCCCUGGACGAUUACCUGAACGGCGGGAACAACUCCCAGGAGCAGGAGGAAGAGCUGCUCCAGUAUUUCCAGCAGAGCAACUCUUCCGGCUCGGACGUCGAGGCCAACAUUAUCGCGGAGACCGAGAGGAUCUCCAGGUCGGACAAGGUCUCUCAGCUCCGGCUGAUCCUUCAGCAGAACCUGAAGGCCGGGGUCGCCCACGUCCCGAUGGAACUUAACUCCGGAGCGGCUGGAGCGGCUGCGCGAAUCGUCAGCACCGAAAAGAGGGACCCUGCCUCGAAGCAUAAUCUGAUACUUCCCACCCUGCUGAACCACUUGAGCCACACCAGCACUCGUAGGAGGGUCAGCUUCGAGACCAACGUUGUAGAACAUAUCCAAGACUCGGGCAACACGCCUAAUACCGUCCCCCAGAGUCCCAACACUCGGCGCAAGAUCUUCAAUUUCACGCCGAUCUCGCCGGGACCCCAUUCCCCGAUAAACGGGAGGGCCUCGAAGCCUAACUCGGCGAAUGCUAGCCCUUUCGUCUCACCCAGGAACACCCCGGUCCCGAGAUCCAGGAGCAACAUUCAAUCCAGUUCGAGGUCCAGAUCCACCCAGAAAAACCUCUCCCGGUCUACAUCCUGUGGAGUGCCCUACACCGCCAGGACCGAGACCUUCGUAGUGCCCACCACUGGUCCCGAAUUGACCAGGCAGAUGUCAGCACCGCAGUCUCCGCUGACCUGCAUCAGAUCCACCGAAGUACAGGCUCCUGUCGUGGCGGUUGCUCAACAAGUCACCACUCCGGUGUCCAAGGAAAGAGGAGCUCCGCAGCCUGCUUCCUUCUUACCCUCGGACUUAGCUCCGCAGAAGCAGCUGGUAAUAAACUAUCCGAGUCAGGAGAAUUUACAGGAAAUUAAGACAGCCUAUCGGAAGAGCCAGCCUCUGGACCAGGAGAUCAGCGAGCUUUUCCACGAUGGCAAGCAGUACACCAACGAGCAGCUAUACUACAGGUCCCAGUCGGUGCCUCUUCAUCGGAUGGUGAACCCCAAUCUAAUGUCUCCAGUGUCCGCUCAUCAAUAUCAUUUGCCAUCGUUCCAAAGUCAGAGCUUCGAUCCAUCGGCCAGCAGUUCCAUAGCUCCUACUCCGGUGCCCAGUGAGUUUAAUGACUUCGUCGGCCCGAUCGGCCAGGCCGACAAUGGGUCGACCUAUCUUCUGGACGAGGUCGAUCCCAACUUCAUAUCGGACAGCCAGCAAUUCCUCAUCGGAGACAAAGAGAUCACUUCGGAGAACAUCAGCAACCUUCUGAACAUCCUCGACGAGGAGGGCACGCAGAACUUGCAAAUUCUGCCCGACAACACUGGAGAGGAGGCCCUCAUCGAGAGCAACCCCAUCGUCCUGGAGGACCUGCCCACGUCGAAUUUAAACAUCCAGAUCAUCCAAUCCAGGUCUUACCCCAACACUCCGCUGCCGCCGGCUCUGUCUUCGUACCCCCCAAAUUACACCGAAGAUAGCAACGGGUCCAGGUCUUACCCUUCGACGCCUCUGCACACCGUUCAACUGAGAGAGACCUAUCCUGAGACCAAUGAGCCGAUGCUCUCCAGCCCCACGCUGAACUCUCUGAACCUCCGGAGCGAAACGGUUGCUCCAAAUGGGUCCAAUGGCGUCUGCAGGAACGUUUGCGCGGAACUACUCGAGACUGAUUUCUUAGCUACCGAUACGAAUACGGAGACCGACGACCUGGACCCUUUGGGGAAUUUUGAUGGGCUUCAGGACCCAUUGGCACCGCUCUUCAACGAGGUAACCGAACCCAAUCCAUAGGGCGGUAUCUACCCACCCGUCAUUGGAGACGAUUUAGAUCACUCCGACGAUAUUCGACCACUUUCUGAACAUCUUUGAUGAAGGGGGUACCGAAGAAGGAACACUCCACGUACCCUUCGGGGAACUUUGACGGACCUCAGGACCCAUUGGCACUGCUCUUCUACGAGGUAACCGAACCCAAUACGUAGGGAGGAAUUUACCCACUCGUCCUCGGAGACGAUUAGAUCGCUCCGACGAUAUUCGAUCACUUCCUGAACAUCUUUGAUGAAGAGGGUGCCGAAGAAGGAGCACUCCAAGGGACCCUACUGUCUUAGCUCGCCGAGCUCCUCCACUCUGAACACCUGUUUACACGUCAAGGCUCUACUCGGGCACUCCGCUGCUCUGAGGUGCUCUCUUUGUGCUUUGCAAACUAUCUAGAAGACAGUUCUCAGACUCCACGCUCAACUCUUUCAACUGUCGAAGUGAAACAGUUGCAGUUAGUGGAUCCAGUGGUGUACCUAGAAGAUGGCUCACCCUCGGCUACUUCAGACUGAUUUCUUCGCCAGGGAUCCUGUCUGUAGUCAACAUGCUGGGUCGUUUGCGUAGCAUCAACGAAGAGAAUCACACGUCAACACUGCACAUCUACAAGAUGACUGGACCUGGUCCGUGGAUUUGGAUAUAUUAGAAGCACUGCCAUUAGAUUAUUUCACCGAUAAUCGAGGUUGUUCGAUUGAAAGGAAAGGUGUUCGUCUCGUGGAUAUCUUCCUCCUUGAUGUUCAAUUAGACGUCUUUCGGAUUAUCUCAAAUGCCGUUGGUUGUCACACCAGGACCUCUACGUCACACUCCAUAUUCUUUCCGCCGUGUCACUAGUGCUACAGUGCUCCUUAAUUGUCUAAACCUUCGAGAAAAUUUAUAUGUUUAUUAACAGUGAUACUUUCAGGGUGUGAAAAUGAUAAGAGAAUACGGUAACCUGUUUUAUUCGCUGAUACCUUGUAUCGGGUCGAAGAGGUGUUUUAUUCUAACUACUUGGAAUGCCCAGUUUAGAGAAGUUCUUAACUCGAGUUAUAUACCUCAGGGUAUCGGAGAGCUCAAAAGUUGACUCCGUUGUACAAAUUAUUUUUUAGGACCUCACUAGAUGAUUAGGACGUACGCAAUUGUGACAAGAUGUUUUCAACUCGCUGCGAAGGAAGCUUCUUUAAUGUUGUUGAUCGAUCACACGACUCUGGAGGCACUCCUGGUGGUGAUCUAGAAAACAGUUUGGUGGCUCUUUGGUAUCGGGGUCCUCGAUUACUCUGAGAUCCAUCUCGGAGACAUAUCAAAUGUUCAAGGAAGAACGACACAUAGACAAUUCAUUUGUUCGAAAUGAAAAAAAAAAAAAAGAAGUGUACCGCUGUAUUUUAUAUGUAGAGCCCAGAGAGUAGCAUUCUAAGAUGUUUAAAUUGUUUACCACAUUUGAGAAAGUUCUUCACAUAUGUCUAUAUAUAUAUAUAUAACAUGUUUUGGAUAUUAAAAGUUUUUAGGAAUGAGAGUAUAUAAAUCUUGAGAAAUUAUCUGGAAAGUGCAAUUAAAAUUAAUUUGUUUAUUAUAUAGUACGACUUUCGUUAUUUGGUUUAGAUUGAUCGUUUUAGGGUAAUUUUAACGUAGAUGAUAUUUACUUUAAAUAUACUUUCGGGGUAAUUUGAGAAAUUAUAUCAUCGGCAAAUCUUACCGUAGGUCUAAAUUAUGUUCAAGUGUUUAUGUUAACGGUACGAUCUAAUUAUUUCGGUGCGAUACGAGGGAUUUCGUUCGUGCAAUAAAGUUCGAAUUAAGGGAAUUCAUUUCGAAAAUGGCGAACCCAUCACCGAAGAGCCACCAUUCGUAUUUUAAAUCGCGCCUCGUCCGGUUGCGAUUUCAUCGAUUUUAUUUAAAUUAACACGUACUGAAAACGGUAUCAUUGAAGCAAAAGGAGGGUUUUGUAGCAUUCAAUUAACGGGCGAUCGAGUCACAAUUUCUUUCCACAUGCGAGCAGGCUUCUGAAGAUUUUUCUUUUUUGUUUUAAAUUAUGAGACGAACAUUGUCAAGAACAUCAGUGUGGUCGUUGCAUGCAUUUUCUGUUCUCCCGAUUCUUCUUUAUUAAUUAAUAUAACGGCGUACAAUUCGAGAUAAAUGAAAGGCUUCCCUAAUUUUGCACGAAAAUAAUGUACGAUUCUUUUUUGAACUGACAUAAACGGCAGUGACGACAUCGCCGUCAUGUUUCGGAUCUCCGAAAUACCGUUUUUUUUUUUGGUUUUAAUCGGAUGGGAAAUUUAAGAUGCAAGUAUUGAAAUUGUACCACAAAACACUGCCGUAGUAUUAGAUAAGGAUUUACUCCACAUUUAUGCAGCGACUGCGUUGUCUUUUAGGAUUCGUGAAUGUGUGCAACGGCAGGUCCUUUUUCCGGUAAUUGAUCAUCCGUGAUUCCUUUAUCAGCCUCACCUUUGAUUUCUAUUUGAUACGAUAAAAAGGGGUAUCCUCUCCGAGAAUGCGUUACAUCGGUCCUUUAUUGUUAAAGUGUUUAUUCGAGUUUCCCAAAAUUAAUAGCAUACAAGGGACGUGCAAAGACGGUCACUCUCUCUAUCUCUCUCUCUCUCUCUCUCUCUCUUAUUAUUAUUAGUAGCAGUAGUACUAGUAGUAGUAACCGUAGGAUAAAAACCGUUCUUGUUAUACACCGCUUUAAUGGCGGUGGGAAGUAUUACGGCUGGUGGUUUCCAUUCGUCCGUAAUAAUUGGACAAAUAUUGCGUUACGAGUAUUUCACGAAUGCCUUAUGGCGGCCCUCGUAGGCGUAGCGUUCAUUGUCCGGUUGUUUUGGAUGAAUACAAAACUUUGGAAUUGAAGACAUACCACGUAAGACCCGGGUCUACAGUUGCACGCACAAAACGUAUAGACGUACACUGGGAGACAUCAAUGCCCUCCCACCCUGCACAGGCGAUGCCGUAUCUGCAGGGGAGGCAUUCGUGUCCGCCAUUGUACAUCUGUGGUUACUCCGUGUCGUUCGAUUUCUCGCUGUAUUAAAUGGCUAAUCUUAGGUACUCCAUUGGCGCACUUUUGUACGAAGCAAUUUUCUAGCAGGAAUUGUUUUGUCGGUAUUUAAAGGUAUCCCGUUGCCGUAGGGUCGGUCACGCCUUUUGUUGGAGCAAUAAAGGCGAGCAAUGGUUUGUUAAUUAUCCUGCGGUUCGGACUACUUUAUGACCUCUGCGCCUACCGGGGAUAUUAGGCCGCCAUAUUGGAAUGAGUUUGGACCAUAGACAGAGGAAUAUAGGAACCGAGCAUAAAAAAAUAAGAUGGUUACUUAAACAAGGGGGACAGCCAUAUUACCACGUCCAAACGUGACGCGAGAUUUGAAUGGGUCUUUCUACCUUUUACAUUGAGAGCAAAAUUAAAGGAGGAAAAAAAUAGUCGUUGGUCUUUUAUCAUUACGUUUUUUU